Molecule: ribosomal RNA, 433 nt
Filed under: uncultured bacterium
Lineage: Bacteria
Description: partial 16S ribosomal RNA
Rfam family: Bacterial small subunit ribosomal RNA
Source: RNAcentral
AACGAACGCUGGCAGCAUGCCUAACACAUGCAAGUCGAACGAGACCUUCGGGUCUAGUGGCGCACGGGUGCGUAACGCGUGGGAACCUGCCCUUAGGUUCGGAAUAACUCCCCGAAAGGGGUGCUAAUACCGGAUAAUGUCUUCGGACCAAAGAUUUAUCGCCUUUGGAUGGGCCCGCGUUGGAUUAGCUAGUUGGUAGGGUAAAAGCCUACCAAGGCGACGAUCCAUAGCUGGUCUGAGAGGAUGAUCAGCCACACUGGGACUGAGACACGGCCCAGACUCCUACGGGAGGCAGCAGUGGGGAAUAUUGGACAACGGGCGAAAGCCUGAUCCAGCAAUGCCGCGUGAGUGAUGAAGGCCUUAGGGUUGUAAAGCUCUUUUACCCGGGAUGAUAAUGACAGUACCGGGAGAAUAAGCUCCGGCUAACUCCGUG